This 75-nucleotide transfer RNA is filed under the name Peptococcaceae bacterium. RNAcentral's name for it is "tRNA-Val". It matches the Rfam family "tRNA". From Rfam's summary of the family: Transfer RNA (tRNA) molecules are approximately 80 nucleotides in length. The record is from RNAcentral. Lineage: Bacteria; Bacillati; Bacillota; Clostridia; Eubacteriales; Peptococcaceae. RNAcentral also lists the same sequence under 1 other name.
GGGCGAUUAGCUCAGUGGGAGAGCACCGCCCUUACAAGGCGGGGGUCACUGGUUCAAAUCCAGUAUCGCCCACCA